Molecule: ribosomal RNA, 443 nt
Filed under: uncultured bacterium
Lineage: Bacteria
Description: partial 16S ribosomal RNA
Rfam family: Bacterial small subunit ribosomal RNA
Source: RNAcentral
CCUACGGGAUGCAGCAGUGGGGAAUAUUGGGCAAUGGAGGCAACUCUGACCCAGCAACGCCGCGUGAAUGAUGAAGGUCUUCGGAUUGUAAAGUUCUUUUAUAAGGGAAGAAGGAAGUGAAGGUACCUUAGGAAUAAGCCUCGGCUAACUACGUGCCAUCAGCCGCGGUAAUACGUAGGAGGCAAGCGUUAUCCGGAAUGACUGGGAGUAAAGGGUGCGUAGGUGUUUUGACAAGUUGGUAGCGUAACUCCAGAGCUCAAAUUCGGACAUAAUACCAAAACUGUUGGACUCGAGUGCAGGAGGGGCAACUGGAAUUUCUAGUGUAGCGGUGGAAUGCGUAGAUAUUAGGAAGAACACCGGUGGCGAAGGCGAGUUGCUGGACUGUAACUGACACUGAGGCACGAAAGCGUGGGGAGCAAACAGGAGUAGAUAUCCUUGUAGUC